RNAcentral lists this ribosomal RNA (500 nucleotides) under uncultured bacterium. Its description in RNAcentral is "partial 16S ribosomal RNA". It matches the Rfam family "Bacterial small subunit ribosomal RNA", at positions 30 to 523 of the family's 1533-position model. The record is from RNAcentral.
AUUGAACGCUGGCGGAAUGCUUUACACAUGCAAGUCGAACGGCAGCACGGACUUCGGUCUGGUGGCGAGUGGCGAACGGGUGAGUAAUAUAUCGGAACGUAUCCAAUAAUGGGGGAUAACUAAUCGAAAGGUUGGCUAAUACCGCAUACGUCCUACGGGAGAAAGCUAGGGACCUUCGGGCCUGGCGUUAAUGGAGCGGCCGAUAUCGGAUUAGCUAGUUGGUGAGGUAAAGGCUCACCAAGGCGACGAUCCGUAGCUGGUCUGAGAGGACGACCAGCCACACUGGAACUGAGACACGGUCCAGACUCAUACGGGAGGCAGCAGUGGGGAAUUUUGGACAAUGGGCGAAAGCCUGAUCCAGCCAUUCCGCGUGAGUGAAGAAGGCCUUCGGGUUGUAAAGCUCUUUCGCAAGAGAAGAAAACUUACCCUCUAACAUAGGGUGAGGUUGACGGUAUCUUGAUAAGAAGCACCGGCUAACUACGUGCCAGCAGCCGCCGUAA